UAUUAAGUGGCGGAAGGGUUAGUAAUACAUAGAUAAUCUGUCCUCAACUUGGGAAUAACGGUUGGAAACGACCGCUAAUACCGAAUGUGGUAUGUUUAGGCAUCUAAAACAUAUUAAAGAAGGGGAUCUUCGGACCUUUCGGUUGAGGGAGAGUCUAUGGGAUAUCAGCUUGUUGGUGGGGUAAUGGCCUACCAAGGCUUUGACGUCUAGGCGGAUUGAGAGAUUGACCGCCAACACUGGGACUGAGACACUGCCCAGACUUCUACGGAAGGCUGCAGUCGAGAAUCUUUCGCAAUGGACGAAAGUCUGACGAAGCGACGCCGCGUGUGUGAUGAAGGCUCUAGGGUUGUAAAGCACUUUCGCUUGGGAAUAAGAGAGAUUGGCUAAUAUCCAAUCGAUUUGAGCGUACCAGGUAAAGAAGCACCGGCUAACUCCGUGCCAGCAGCUGCGGUAAUACGGAGGGUGCUAGCGUUAAUCGGAUUUAUUGGGCGUAAAGGGCGUGUAGGCGGAAAGGAAAGUUAGAUGUUAAAUCUUGGGGCUCAACCCCAGGCCAGCAUCUAAUACUAUCUUUCUAGAGGGUGGAUGGAGAAAAGGGAAUUCCACGUGUAGCGGUGAAAUGCGUAGAUAUGUGGAAGAACACCAGUGGCGAAGGCGCUUUUCUAAUUUACACCUGACGCUAAGGCGCGAAAGCAAGGGGAGCAAACAGGAUUAGAUACCCUGGUAGUCCUUGCCGUAAACGAUGCAUACUUGAUGUGGAUAGUCUCAACCCUAUCCGUGUCGUAGCUAACGCGUUAAGUAUGCCGCCUGAGGAGUACACUCGCAAGGGUGAAACUCAAAAGAAUUGACGGGGGCCCGCACAAGCAGUGGAGCAUGUGGUUUAAUUCGAUGCAACGCGAAGAACCUUACCUGGGCUUGACAUGUAUUUGACCGCGGCAGAAAUGUCGUUUUCCGCAAGGACAGAUACACAGGUGCUGCAUGGCUGUCGUCAGCUCGUGCCGUGAGGUGUUGGGUUAAGUCCCGCAACGAGCGCAACCCUUAUCGUUAGUUGCCAACACUUAGGGUGGGAACUCUAACGAGACUGCCUGGGUUAACCAGGAGGAAGGCGAGGAUGACGUCAAGUCAGCAUGGCCCUUAUGCCCAGGGCUACACACGUGCUACAAUGGCCAGUACAGAAGGUAGCAAUAUCGUGAGAUGGAGCAAAUCCUCAAAGCUGGCCCCAGUUCGGAUUGUAGUCUGCAACUCGACUACAUGAAGUCGGAAUUGCUAGUAAUGGCGUGUCAGCUAUAACGCCGUGAAUACGUUCCCGGGCCUUGUACACACCGCCCGUCA
RNAcentral lists this ribosomal RNA (1329 nucleotides) under uncultured Chlamydia sp. RNAcentral's name for it is "bacterial SSU rRNA". It matches the Rfam family "Bacterial small subunit ribosomal RNA", at positions 89 to 1399 of the family's 1533-position model. Lineage: Bacteria; Pseudomonadati; Chlamydiota; Chlamydiia; Chlamydiales; Chlamydiaceae. The record is from RNAcentral.